ACGCUCGACACCUACGGGAAGCAGCAGUGGGGAAUAUUGCACAAUGGGGGAAACCCUGAUGCAGCGACGCCGCGUGAGUGAAGAAGUAAUUCGUUAUGUAAAGCUCUAUCAGCAGGGAAGAAAGUGACGGUACCUGAGUAGGAAGCCCCGGCUAACUACGUGCCAGCAGCUGCGGUAAUCUGAGCGGGCUGGCAAGGC
This 198-nucleotide ribosomal RNA is filed under the name uncultured bacterium. Its description in RNAcentral is "partial 16S ribosomal RNA". It matches the Rfam family "Bacterial small subunit ribosomal RNA", at positions 326 to 539 of the family's 1533-position model. The record is from RNAcentral.